UAUUUAAAUAGUUUAAAAAAAAUAUUGGUUUGUGGUUCCAAAGAUAUAUUUAUAUUUUAAAUAA
Molecule: transfer RNA, 64 nt
Filed under: Vesta saturnalis
Lineage: Eukaryota; Metazoa; Arthropoda; Insecta; Coleoptera; Lampyridae
Description: tRNA-His
Source: RNAcentral